This 64-nucleotide transfer RNA is filed under the name Caudoviricetes sp. Its description in RNAcentral is "tRNA-OTHER". It matches the Rfam family "tRNA". From Rfam's summary of the family: Transfer RNA (tRNA) molecules are approximately 80 nucleotides in length. Their secondary structure includes four short double-helical elements and three loops (D, anti-codon, and T loops). The record is from RNAcentral. Lineage: Duplodnaviria; Heunggongvirae; Uroviricota; Caudoviricetes.
GCUUAGUUGGUGUAAUGGUAGCAUUGACCGGCAGGAGAUUCUGGUUCGAAUCCAGAACUAAGCA